UCACUGCUUACGCAGGCAGUUCCACUAGAGUCCCCGGCAUUACCCGCUGGCAACUAAUGGUAGGGGUUGCGCUCGUUACAGGACUUAACCCAACACCUCACGGCACGAGCUGACGACAGCCAUGCAGCACCUAGUUUCGUGUCCUUUCGGAAAGCUCCCUUUCAGGAGCGGUCACUAACUUUCAAGCCCAGGUAAGGUUCCUCGCGUACCAUCGAAUUAAACCACAUGCUCCUCCGCUUGUGCGGGCCCCCGUCAAUUCCUUUGAGUUUCAAUCUUGCGAUCGUACUCCCCAGGUGGAUUACUUAACGCUUUCGCUUUGACACGUACCCUAACGGGCACACAUCUAGUAAUCAACGUUUACGGCGUGGACUAC
This 373-nucleotide unclassified non-coding RNA is filed under the name uncultured Sphingobacteriales bacterium. Its description in RNAcentral is "contains 16S-23S intergenic spacer region". The record is from RNAcentral. Lineage: Bacteria; Pseudomonadati; Bacteroidota; Sphingobacteriia; Sphingobacteriales.